AGCAGCAGCAGCAGUAGUAGCAGUAGCAGCAUCAGCAGCAUCAGUAGUAGUAGCAGUAGUAGUAGCAGUAGUAGUUGAAGUACUAGUAGUAGUAGUAGUAGUAGUAGUAGUAGUAGUAGUAGUAGUAGUAGUAGUAGUAGUAGUAGUAGAAGUAGAAGUAGCAGCAGUAGUAGUGGUAGAAGUAGUAGUAGUAGUAACAGCAGCAGCAGCAGUAGUAGUAGUAGUCGCUGCAGCAGGAGUUGUAAUAGUAGCAGCAGCAGCAGUAGCAGUAGUAGUAGUAGCAGCAGCAGCAGGAGUAGUAGCAGCAGCAGCAGUAGCAGCAGCAGUAGCAGUAGUAGUAGUAGUUGAAGCAGUAGUAGUAGUUGAAGUAGUAGUAGUAGUAGUAGUAGUAGCAGUAGUAGCAGCAGUAGUAGUAGUAGUAGUAGUAGUAGUAGUAGUAGUAGUAGUAGUAGUAGUAGUAGAUGUAGUAGUAGUAGUAGUAGUAGUAGUAGAAGUAGAAGUAGUAGUAGUAGUAGUAGUAGCAGUAGUAGUAGUAGUAGUAGUAGUAGUAGGUAGUUGUUGUUGUUGUUGUGGCUGUUGUAAUAGUAGUAGUAGUUUUGCAGAAGUAGUAGUAGUAGUAGUAGUAGUACUAGUAGUAGAAGUAAUAGUAGUAACUUUCAAAGCAAUGUCUACAAGUUUAAAUUCCUUAACCCUGUUCAAGGUGUAUACACACUCAAUAUUUAACUACAGUCCAGGUUUGCAAUUAACAAACUAUCUGAAAAGCCUGUGUGUGAGUCAGAUGUGUCUGCGGCUAAUCUAUUGGUUAUAAAAUAUCACAGCCUUUUCUGAUUGGCUGAGUUCAAAUACAGAAAGUUUACCUGUUAGAUUGAAAUUCUGGAGAAGGCGUAUUGAAGAAAAAAUGCAGGUUAAACUUGUUGUUAAAAUGAAGUUAAUGUAAUUUCACAAACAGUAGAGUUUAACUUAAUGAGUUUUUCCAUUAACAAGAAUUUCUUAAAAUAAUAAUGUAUGGAUAUCAUUUGGAAAGUGACAUGAAUUGUUGUUAAAAAGUGAUGCAUACAAGUGUUUGAGCAGUCUGUCUAGGAAUAGAACAACAACUGAAGGUUUGUGCUUUUCAUUAUUUCUAAAUAUUCCUUUAAAUUUAUUCUUCUUAUGUCAUCAUUGUAGACCUUUUUAUGUGACAUUUUAGGUAAAAGUAUGGCAAAUAUAUAGAAGUUUAAAAGCAGCUGUCACACACAUUUUCACUAAGUGCAGUUUGCAGCUUGAUAAAGGAAGUCCUAUGUGGAGAUAUUAAUAAGCUUGUAUGUAGUAUCGGAAGUUUAUAAUGCAUGGCUAGGGAACUGAGGCUAAGGGAGUUAUGUGCUGUGCAUGAUGAGAACUCAAUGCUCAUUAAUGCUGUUAAUGUUUAUAAAUAAAUUAAUUAAACCAAUAGCAUUGUUUUUUAGGUUUCACUGUACAUUUUCAUACCAAUAGAAUUACACAUCAUUCUAAUUAUAGCAAUAAUAAAUUUGUACUAAUCAUACCUACAAAUUUUGUUAUGCUAUGCUUUGUGAUGUAUUAACUUCAUUGUAAGUUAUUAUUUAAAGACAAUUUUACUAAAUAUUUAAAACAAUACUUGAAUUAUUUUCUAUAUACAUUUUCAUUAUGUGCUUUAACUGUAGCUGACCAGUUGAUGGAAGAUACUGCAGAGUUUGGCAGUGAAAUAACCCAAGACAGCAAAGCAGCUCUUUUGGUGCAUUUACCAAGAGGACUAACAUGGCCACAAAUUCAUGAGAUCAUGCAGGAGCCGUACAGUAUAACAGCAGUACAAGUUCUAUAAAAGAUCCACGACCUACUGAAGCCCAGCUAAUUAACAAAAAAGUUUUUAAAAACUGAAAUUUUAUCCCACCUGGGUACUUAUAAUUUACUAAGCUGCCUUCACAAGUUUUAGACUUGCAAUUAUAUUUUAAACUGUCACUUGGAAAGUAAUACAUGUACAUGCAUUCAUGUUCUGAAUUUCUUUGAACAAUAAAAUUAUAUAAAAGUAUUUUAAUGAAAUUGAGCACCUAAAUUGCAUUAAAGUGAAAGUAGCUGAGAAAAAUAGUAUCCUUAAUUGUUCUCAUGGGCAGCUACAUAUAUUGUGACAAACAUGAAGUAGCUAAAAUAACUUAAAUUUUUCAUUUUGUUUCUUGUAUAUCGUUUGUACAGGGUUCAUGAAUUGUUACUGUAUAUUACUUGACUUGCUUGUAUUUUGUUACUUUGAAUACAGGUUGUUAAGGUUGCAUUAUACUUUUUAACUUUUAAAGUAGCGCCUGUUCUGUUAUGUAAGGGCCUGAUUUAUGAUAAUGGACCUAGAGGCUUUGUAAGCAUGUAUUAAACAACACUUGUUUGAUCUGAACAAUUUGUUAAAUAAAUGUAACACAAUUUGUAAUCUGAUGUUAUAUUUUGAUGAAUUGUGAACAAAAUAAUACAUCGAAGAAACUAA
This is a long non-coding RNA of Dreissena polymorpha, 2461 nucleotides long. RefSeq lists it as uncharacterized. The record is from RefSeq and is a predicted model, not a curated record. Lineage: Eukaryota; Metazoa; Mollusca; Bivalvia; Myida; Dreissenidae. The transcript is spliced from 2 exons.